Long non-coding RNA from Chinchilla lanigera (long-tailed chinchilla), 289 nucleotides. RefSeq lists it as uncharacterized. The transcript has 2 exons. The record is from RefSeq and is a predicted model, not a curated record. Lineage: Eukaryota; Metazoa; Chordata; Mammalia; Rodentia; Chinchillidae.
CGCACACAGGGAGCCCCGCCGCAGCGCCGCGUCCCCUGGAUCGCGUUAUCACACCCAUUUUUACAAAAUACACCCCUCACUUCAUAUCUGCUGUGAGAGCACGACCUUCGUCUAGGCUUGUGAGAUUAUGUAAGCCUGGCGAGGAACAGGCCCAGGGUGCUGCUUCCCUGACAGCCUGUCCCUUGAAGACAAAUGGAGCCGAGAGAGCAGAGCCGGCCACAGCCCAGCCUGAGUCCAGCCCAGCUCAUCCACAGAUCCCAGCUAGAAAUAAAGGUUGUAUCAGCACUGG